AGCAGCCGCGGUAAUUCCAGCUCCAAUAGCGUAUAUUAAAGUUGCUGCAGUUAAAAAGCUCGUAGUUGAAUUUCGGGAUCAACUAACUGGUCGUGCCUAUGGUACGUACUGGUUUUGUUGGUUUCUCCCUCUGAGGAGCCGCGAUGUCAUUAAUUUGGUGUCGUGGGGAAUCAGACUGUUACUUUGAAAAAAUUAGAGUGUUUAAAGCAGGCUAACGCUUGAAUACAUUAGCAUGGAAUAAUGAAAUAGGACGUUUGACCCUAUUUUGUUGGUUUCUAGGAUCGACGUAAUGAUUAAUAGGGAUAGUUGGG
RNAcentral lists this ribosomal RNA (311 nucleotides) under uncultured Glomus. Its description in RNAcentral is "SSU rRNA". It matches the Rfam family "Eukaryotic small subunit ribosomal RNA", at positions 569 to 886 of the family's 1831-position model. Lineage: Eukaryota; Fungi; Glomeromycota; Glomeromycetes; Glomerales; Glomeraceae. The record is from RNAcentral.